Molecule: ribosomal RNA, 118 nt
Filed under: Diaphorina citri (Asian citrus psyllid)
Lineage: Eukaryota; Metazoa; Arthropoda; Insecta; Hemiptera; Psyllidae
Source: RNAcentral
ACCAGCGGCGAUAGCAUUUUAAUGCACCAAUUCCCCAUGGAUCACUGAAGUUAAACAACGUUCGCGCAUGGUUAGUAUCCGGAUGGGCGACCACCUGGGCAAUCGCAUGCUGCCGACU